UAGGGAAUCUUCGGCAAUGGACGAAAGUCUGACCGAGCAACGCCGCGUGAGUGAAGAAGGUUUUCGGAUCGUAAAACUCUGUUGUUAGAGAAGAACAAGGACGUUAGUAACUGAACGUCCCCUGACGGUAUCUAACCAGAAAGCCACGGCUAACUACGUGCCAGCAGCCGCGGUAAUACGUAGGUGGCAAGCGUUGUCCGGAUUUAUUGGGCGUAAAGCGAGCGCAGGCGGUUUCUUAAGUCUGAUGUGAAAGCCCCCGGCUCAACCGGGGAGGGUAAUUGGAAACUGGGAGACUUGAGUGCAGAAGAGGAGAGUGGAAUUCCAUGGGUGGCGGUGAAAUGCGUAGAUAUAUGGAGGAACACCAGUGGCGAAGGCGGCUCUCUGGUCUGUAACUGACGCUGAGGCUCGAAAGCGUGGGGGGCAAACAGG
This 429-nucleotide ribosomal RNA is filed under the name Gemmatimonadota bacterium. Its description in RNAcentral is "Gemmatimonadetes bacterium partial 16S ribosomal RNA". It matches the Rfam family "Bacterial small subunit ribosomal RNA", at positions 355 to 776 of the family's 1533-position model. The record is from RNAcentral. Lineage: Bacteria; Pseudomonadati; Gemmatimonadota.